UACGUAGGUGGCAAGCGUUGUCCGGAUUUACUGGGCGUAAAGAGCGCGCAGGCGGUCGUUCAAGUCGCGUGUGAAAGCCCCCGGCUCAACUGGGGAGGGUCACGCGAUACUGAUCGACUCGAAGGCAGGAGAGGGUAGUGGAAUUCCCGGUGUAGUGGUGAAAUGCGUAGAUAUCGGGAGGAACACCAGUGGCGAAGGCGAUUUUCUGGACCAUAACUGACGCUGAGGCAUGAAAGCGUGGGGAGCAAACAGG
Molecule: ribosomal RNA, 253 nt
Filed under: uncultured bacterium
Lineage: Bacteria
Description: partial 16S ribosomal RNA
Rfam family: Bacterial small subunit ribosomal RNA
Source: RNAcentral